GACGAACGCUGGCGGCGUGCUUAACACAUGCCAGUCGAACGGUGAAGCUCCAGCUUGCUGGAGUGGAUCAGUGGCGAACGGGUGAGUAACACGUGAGCAACCUGCCCCUGACUCUGGAAUAAGCGCUGGAAACGGCGUCUAAUACUGGAUACGAGAAGGGUCCGCAUGGGCACUUUCUGGAAAGUUUUUCGGUUGGGGAUGGGCUCGCGGCCUAUCAGCUUGUUGGUGAGGUAAUGGCUCACCAAGGCGACGACGGGUAGCCGGCCGGAGAGGGCGACCGGCCACACUGGGACUGAGACACGGCCCAGACUCCUACGGGAGGCAGCAGUGGGGAAUAUUGCACAAUGGGCGAAAGCCUGAUGCAGCGACGCCGCGUGAGGGAUGACGGCCUUCGGGUUGUAAACCUCUUUCAGCAGGGAAGAAGCGAAAGUGACGGUACCUGCAGAAGAAGCACCGGCUAACUACGUG
RNAcentral lists this ribosomal RNA (468 nucleotides) under uncultured bacterium. RNAcentral's name for it is "partial 16S ribosomal RNA". It matches the Rfam family "Bacterial small subunit ribosomal RNA", at positions 28 to 507 of the family's 1533-position model. The record is from RNAcentral.